Astatotilapia calliptera (eastern happy) is the source of this 596-nucleotide long non-coding RNA. Lineage: Eukaryota; Metazoa; Chordata; Actinopteri; Cichliformes; Cichlidae. The record is from Ensembl.
UGUGGGUUUCGUUUCACACGCAGAGAAGGAGGAUUCAGGACUGUUAAGGAAGAGGUUGUAUUUAAAAAGUGGGGUUGCUGGGAGUGCCUGAGGUUAUUAAGGAUUUCAACUUAAAUUAAAGUGAUACUGUGCCAGGAGCAGGAGAAAAUGGAGAGUCUGGAACAAUCAGAAGCUUUUUGCUUGCAGGGAUUGGUUAAGUAUACACUGACGUCAUUGUGUGAAACGUUGUCCUUGUUUGAUGUGUAGUAUCAAUGCAGACGUCAUUUGGACAUUUGCACUCUGUGGAGGUGGAUAAGUGUAAGACAUGCAAAUGAGAGCUUGUAAAUUAAUUCAGGAUCAGAUAUAUCGACUGCCAUAGACCAUAGAAACAAGGGACAUUUCUUGUUUAUACACCACUUCGAAUUUAGUCAUCACAAUUAUUAACUCUUUCUUUAUUUCACAGCUUGUCUUUUGUUCUUUCUUCCUACCCUCACCUCAAAUGCCCCUGGCCUUGGUUCCCUUGCAACUGCCUGGAAAUCAGUGCUAUAUUACAGGAGACCUUUUGUACUUUCCCUUGUUUUCUAUCACAGAUAUAUUUUCAAAAUGCUGGUUCCCCC